Long non-coding RNA from Sarcophilus harrisii (Tasmanian devil), 705 nucleotides. RefSeq lists it as uncharacterized. The record is from RefSeq and is a predicted model, not a curated record. NCBI's taxonomy places the organism in Eukaryota, Metazoa, Chordata, Mammalia, Dasyuromorphia, Dasyuridae. The transcript has 3 exons.
CCUAAUGACACCCAUGCAGCUGCAGCUCUCAUUGUCCAGACAGGUUAUGACUUCCCUGAAGGGCUAAUACCUGAAUCAGAAUGGGAAAGUAGAGAAUUCUCAUUGUCAAGGAAAUGAAUGGUAUGGAGGAGUGCUGGAGAACAAGGAUCUUGUGACCACUACACUCUACCUUCAGGACAUACCCCAUUCUUGGAACUAGGUUGCAUACACCUUCAGCACAAAGAGUUAGAUGGCUGCUAAAGUUGGACCUGCAUUUUGAAAUGGACAGAGGAAGAUGGCUGAGAAGGGUUUCAGAACUUCCCCCUUGCACCAUCCUGCACCUGCAAGGCCUACAAACACCUAGAUAAAGGAGAUUAGUCUGGAAGCUACAAUCUUGUGAAGUUCAAAAAGGUCUGGGGAGUGAUCUUCCAGGAAUCUGAAAUUCUGGACUUCAGGGGUAAACUACUGAUGGCCCAAGGAGUAAGAAGUGCUGUUAAGACCUAGCCCAAUGGGAGCCAAGUUGAGAACUCUUCCAGCAGCAAUGCCUCAUUUGGAAUGGAACUUAGCAAAAUCAACAUUUUUAGAAACUGGGCCAAGUCUGAGCUCUCUAAUUCCAGAGAUCAAAGUGAGAUCAAGGAGAAUCUGCCCCAGUGUUAAAAAAUGUUUUUCCUUUUGUUAUUGCUAUAUCUUCAAAAUAAAUACUCCUUCAUAAAAUCUAAGAUAGCA